AGGCAGAGAGCAGGGACACGGAAUCCGAAGCAGGCUCGUCGGUGGGAGGAGGCCAGCAUCACGGUAUGUGAGAAGACAGCAGGUUUGAAGAAGGAUUGGAGUUCAAAUCCGGAGGCAACCGCUCACUGCCCGGGCGGCCUUGCGGAAAUUCCUUCUGCUUCCCGAGCUCCUGUUAUCUCAUUUGCAAAAUGGGCACCCAAAUACCACCUUUAUGCAGUCCUUAGGAGAUGAAACGACCUCACGAAGGAAACACAUCCGAUCCGGGGGGCUACUAAGUAUCUCUUCCUUUCCUCCAGGAAUAUGUAAUCCCCUCCCACGUUCCAACUUGUGUUUUGGCCAAUAACUCUGGUUUGUACAUACGCUUAGCAGGCAAAAAAACCGAAGGGACUGAGUUUAGUAAUGCCCCUUGGGUUGUGUCCUCUGGUGACUCAUCUGGAAAAUAGAGCCAGGUUAUUGAGCCAGUGUUCUGUUGGCCUGUCCUUGAGGUCUGGGGGUCCUAGCUAACGGGAUCCAGUUUUCCCAGACCAGGUUCUGGAAGGCUGUGGUUCAGGGAGGAGUUGGAUUCAUGGCCACUGCGUGCCAGAUGCUGCCCCGGGCCCUGGGACUACAGAGAAAUUCUGCCUCUGAGUAGCUCAGAGCUUAGCAAAAGAGACCCACUGAUUAACCCAGUGAGAUGCCCUGGGCACUUACGAGUAUGUGAGGAGGCCCGGUCCUGUGGUCUCUUGGGUCAUCGCAAGAAACCAGGAGUUAAACCACCCUCUCUGAGGCAGGAAAUCCCCACCUUCCAUAGGAGAUAGCUGGUGCUGGGUGGCUGCCUGGAGGAGGCAGCUGGCACCGUGGCAGCAGGAGAGGGAGUCUGAAGGGGCCUUUCCCCUUUAUUUUUCUUGCUGCUAUCCAUCAGGUUUCUCCUGCCCGAGGUGGUUUCUGUCUGGUUUUUGUUUUCAGUCAAUUUACUUAAAUUCCAGUCAAUCUCCUUCCCAAGGCUAAACUUGGUAACUAACCAAACAGACAGAAUCUUGCCCGAUAAACCUUGCCAGGUAUGGCCGUAAAUGCUUUACUCACCAA
Herpailurus yagouaroundi (jaguarundi) is the source of this 1065-nucleotide long non-coding RNA. RefSeq lists it as uncharacterized. The transcript is spliced from 2 exons. The record is from RefSeq and is a predicted model, not a curated record. NCBI's taxonomy places the organism in Eukaryota, Metazoa, Chordata, Mammalia, Carnivora, Felidae.